AUACGGAGGGUGCAAGCGUUAAUCGGAAUUACUGGGCGUAAAGCGUACGUAAGCGGUUCGUUAAGUUAGAUGUGAAAGCCCCGGGCUUAACCUGGGAACUGCAUUUAAAACUGGCGGACUAGAGUUGAGUAGAGGGGAGUGGAAUUUCAGGUGUAGCGGUGAAAUGCGUAGAGAUCUGAAGGAACACCAGUGGCGAAGGCGACUCCCUGGACUCGAACUGACGCUGAGGUACGAAAGCGUGGGUAGCAAACGGGAUUAGAAACCCUUGUAGUCC
RNAcentral lists this ribosomal RNA (274 nucleotides) under uncultured bacterium. RNAcentral's name for it is "partial 16S ribosomal RNA". It matches the Rfam family "Bacterial small subunit ribosomal RNA", at positions 523 to 796 of the family's 1533-position model. The record is from RNAcentral.